Long non-coding RNA from Cygnus atratus (black swan), 2652 nucleotides. RefSeq lists it as uncharacterized. The transcript has 4 exons. The record is from RefSeq and is a predicted model, not a curated record. NCBI's taxonomy places the organism in Eukaryota, Metazoa, Chordata, Aves, Anseriformes, Anatidae.
CCCAGGUGCCGCGGUCCCGCAGCAUGACUGUGCCUCACAUGACCCGCCGCCUCCCUCCCCCUCCUCGGCUCCGCCGCGGAUUUAUUCACGUUAUUCACCACCUUCGUCUUCAUCCCCUCCCUCGGUCUAGAAUAUUCCUGUCGCCCUCCUCCUCCUGCCGUGCGCGGGGAAGCCGGCGGCGCCUCGCCCGUCCCUUUGUGCCGCCGGGGGUCCCCUCACACCCCGAAAUGGCCGCCGCCCCCCGGCCCUCACCCCCCUCAGGGGUCUCCAUGUCCCCUAGGGUGGCAGGAGGUCCCAGGGCUGCCACCACUCGCUGAGGUGGUGUGGGCGCAUCGAGGAGCUUGAGAAGGAAUGUACUGAAGCACUCUUUCAAAAAAUUGUUAACCUUCACAAGUAUUUUUUCUAUCAUUAAGUGAAAUUGAGGUCAAGUCCACUGCUCUUCUCUUGCUGUUUCAGUACUGGCGUUUUGUCAGGGAGGAAAGACCUCGUGGCCCUCCUCAGACGUAGUGAAGCUCGAUACAGCCCUCAGCCAUCUCCAUCCCCUCGUGGCUUCAGCUGUCCCGUGGCCAAAUCUUGGCUUCUCAACCUGGCGUGGCUGCUCUCUGAUCCCUGAAGGCUCUCGGUGCUCAUGCGUUGGCCAGGAGAUUUUCCAUAGCAUCUACAAACCUGUUAGCAUGCCUUGGGGAGCAUCCAGCAGCAAUGAUUCCAACACACAACGAAAGGUGCAAACCUUUGCUUUGCUGUGGUGAAACUAGCUGCUUCCAUUUGGAGAGCGUCCAACGUGUCCAGAACGGAUCCGAGUAAAUCUGACGGGGUGUGACACACGUUGUUUUCCCUGGUGGAAGCGAGCCAAGCAAGGAGGCAUUCGCAGACAGAGCCUGUGGGUACCUUCAACCCUCGAGGAGUUUGGCAAUCCCAAGAGCCUGGGCACGUCUCUUCUUGGAAAGACAGGGGAAAGAGAAGUAGAUGAUACGAGAUGAUAACUUAAUGCAACGAUUGCUGGUUGUCUGCAGAGAAGCAUAAACGUGACCCAGGGUCUGGAGUAAAGCCAAGAAAACUGCUGAGAAGACAGAUCCUUGUUAUCACGUGCUGCGGGUCAUUGGGGACCCACUGCAGAGCCCAGCUGUGCUGUGGGCUCUGUUUCUGCAGGAACCAGUGUCUCCCUGUGUAGACGCCACGUUAUGAGACACCAGGAGUCAGUACUUGGCAGCUCCUCAGUUGGGAGAAAGAUUCUUGCAAUCAAAAACUGUAGGCAUGAGGGGACGUGGUGUGAAGGAGCUCUUGGCCUCUCCCGGCCCCAUCCGUGACUGACACGGGGCAAAUGCAGCGAUUUAACCCGGCUCUCCCUCCCGCACCGGCUGCCAGUGGAAAGAGCCGUGACUCGGGGCUGACCGGGUCACCGCCAAAAGAAGGAACGACCUUGUCAACUUUAUCAUCGUAUCUAGUUACGUGGCGCGGGAAGAGGCCAAAAUCACCCCCUCCCCUUGCCGGUUUGCUCAUUAGUGGUUCACAGGACAGGCUUGACCCUUGUUUCCCCUGCAGACGCCUCUGCCACGGACCGAAGCGGGUCUGAGGCUCGCGUGGCAUGCAGGGCCAAGCCCUGGGGCAUGCUCCUGGCUGGGCCCAGGUGGAGCUGGUGACCAGGGUGGUUUUCUUGGGGAAGAGCUGCAGGCGAGAUGCCUCAGCCAGGUCACCAAGCUGCUGAGAUGAAAGCGAGAGGGGCUGCAGCCGUUCUGCCCCCCGAGAUGGUGGUUUGGGGUGCUUCUGCCCUGUGUUAUUCCCUGCCAGUUCACAGCUGUUCCCUGCAGUGUGUGUGGUAUUCGCAGAUUAUUGUCACAUAAAUAUUUCCCUCUCCAGGCGAACACAGAUAAAGCCUCUGUGAUCCAGGCUUUCAUCUGCCACUGCUAGGCAACCAGGCUCUCCAUUCCCAAACACUGAAAAGUCCAAGGCGCUUCACAGCGGAGCUGGAAGUGGCCACUACAGGGUCCUUCUUGCCCGCACAGACACUUUCCAAGAGCUGUUUUGUUCCAGCAGCAAAAUCAGGAGACCCUCUCCAAGAACGAGCCUCGCAAGCAGGUGCCUGGGAGAGAGAGCUCUGCCAAGUGCAGUGGUGACUGGGUAGACAUGAUUUUUUGGACCCUGUAAGGGUUUAAUGAAGAGCAGAGAGUAAAAUGGUAUAUUAAAAUAUUGACAUAUGGGUAACUCCCGCGUUACACCCUAGUCAAAGCACUUAGCAGCAGAACUGCAUAGAGUCUGGCAUUGCAAAGGACCAUCCCCUCCAAAGAGGACAAUUCCCAUCAGACCUUACAGUCCCCUUCGUGAGGUAUCAGUUAUUUAUCCUGUGCACUCCAAAAGUCAGCGGGUCCUUCUGAUACGCGAGAAGACUGCUAAACAAGCUGCUGAUCAGGCCGGUGAGAUGUCAGUCUUCCCCCAUGGGAUGCUGUCUGUGAUUUCAUCCAGGAGCUGGGCAAGGAGAAAAGGUGCUGGUCCUCACAGAUUUUCCUUCUGAUGCUCACCUGCACGGCCAGCUUCUCCAGGGCAUCCUUCCCCUGCCGAGCAGCUCCACUCAAACGUAACUGCUGUCCUUCUUCCUCACGUACGGCAAACUAGAUUAAAUUCCUCAUGAAAUUAACUAGCGAUCUCUCACAAUUA